This 254-nucleotide ribosomal RNA is filed under the name uncultured bacterium. Its description in RNAcentral is "partial 16S ribosomal RNA". It matches the Rfam family "Bacterial small subunit ribosomal RNA", at positions 524 to 776 of the family's 1533-position model. The record is from RNAcentral.
UACGGAGGGUGCAAGCGUUAUCCGGAUUCACUGGGUUUAAAGGGUGCGUAGGAGGGUAGGUAAGUCAGUGGUGAAAUCUUCGAGCUUAACUCGGAAACUGCCGUUGAUACUAUCUAUCUUGAAUACCGUGGAGGUGAGCGGAAUAUGUCAUGUAGCGGUGAAAUGCUUAGAUAUGACAUAGAACACCAAUUGCGAAGGCAGCUCGCUACACGAAUAUUGACUCUGAGGCACGAAAGCGUGGGGGAUCAAACAGG